Molecule: ribosomal RNA, 236 nt
Filed under: Clostridioides difficile
Lineage: Bacteria; Bacillati; Bacillota; Clostridia; Peptostreptococcales; Peptostreptococcaceae
Description: partial 23S ribosomal RNA
Rfam family: Bacterial large subunit ribosomal RNA
Source: RNAcentral
CAACGGAUAAAAGCUACCCUGGGGAUAACAGGCUUAUCUCCCCCAAGAGUCCACAUCGACGGGGAGGUUUGGCACCUCGAUGUCGGCUCAUCACAGCCUGGGGCUGUAGUAGGUCCCAAGGGUUGGGCUGUUCGCCCAUUAAAGUGGUACGCGAGCUGGGUUCAGAACGUCGUGAGACAGUUCGGUCCCUAUCCGUCGCAGGCGUAGGAAAUUUGAGAAGACCUGUCCUUAGUACG